Molecule: long non-coding RNA, 1287 nt
Filed under: Oryctolagus cuniculus (rabbit)
Lineage: Eukaryota; Metazoa; Chordata; Mammalia; Lagomorpha; Leporidae
Description: lncRNA (ENSOCUG00000039120.1)
Source: RNAcentral
GAACACUGCCAGGCUUCAAGUGUUGGCCGUCGGCACCGGGCCCCUCUCAACACCGAAAGGUGCCGGCUUCACGCUGUGGGUGGGCACUGUGGGUGCGGGGAGGAUCUGAGCAGGGCCCGUCCGAGCGAGCGACAGAGAGAGGAGAGGGAAGGAAGCCUCCCCACCUCCCAGACAGGCCCAGCCCAGGGGACGUCGGGGUGGCCGUGGGGACCUGGGUGCUGUCCCCAUUCUCCCAGACAGGCCUGGCCCAGGGGACGUCGGGGUGGCCGUGGGGACCUGGGUGCUGUCCCAUUCAGAGAACCAGGCUGGGCCCAGGGGACGUUGGGGGGGGGACGUUGGGGUGGCCGUGGGGACCCGGGUGCUGUCCCCAUUCUCCCAGACAGGCCUGGCACAGGGGACGUCAGGGUGGCCGUGGGGACCAGGUGCUGCCCCACUCAGAGAACCCGGGUGCUGUCCCCAUUUUCCCAGACAGGCCUGGCCCAGGGGACGUUGGGGUGGCCGUGGGGACCCGGGUGCUGCCCCACUCAGAACCAGGCUGUGGCUGUGCACGCGGUGCGUGAGGAAGGGCAGCUGAGAGUGACGGGAGGCCACCUGCUGUGCCACGGGGGUCAGCGGAGGCCCAGCUGGACGUGCAGACCCUGCCACAGCCAGGCCGGCUCCCCGCCCUGUGGGCCCACGCCGGGCCGUGCAGGACGCUGGCUCAGGGUGGGGCGGGGGCUGGCGUCUCCGGCUGGGUUGGUGACAGCCACCAAGAGCCUGGUGGCCUUGGGGGUCCACACUGCUCCAGAUGAGCGAGUCAGAGUCCACUCAGGCCUUGGCUGCCCAGGGACCUCCCAGCGUGGACCCCUCCUGCCAGUCUCCCAGGAACAAGGGCCUUCAGCACACACACGGCACCCACCCUCGUCACGUCAGACACACGACAUGGGAGCUCCCAGCCCUGCAGAGCCACACUCGGACCCAUGUGUGCAGAGUGUGUGUGUGGGCGGGGGUUGCGUGUGUCUGUGUGUAUCAUGCGUGUUGUAUGCUGCUGCCAAUAUGCUCGCAUGUGCAUGGCUGUGUAGUCACAUACAUGCGCGUGGCAGCAUCACAUGUCCAUGUGCACGUGCCUGCUCAGGUGCUUGUGUGUGUGUACACAGCCAUGUCUGUGCGUGUGUGUGCACAGCCAUGUGUGUGUGCGUGUGUGUACACAGCCAUGUGUGUGCGUGUGUGUGCACAGCCAUGUGUGUACAUAGCUGUACAUGGCUGGCAUUGCAUGUGUGUGCAUGUGCGUGUGCCCUGGCAUGUGUC